This is a non-coding RNA of Heterocephalus glaber (naked mole-rat), 736 nucleotides long. The record is from RefSeq and is a predicted model, not a curated record. Lineage: Eukaryota; Metazoa; Chordata; Mammalia; Rodentia; Bathyergidae.
UACCUAACGUAUAUGUAGACUUUGGAAUUCUGAAGUAAUGAUUAAAACUAAUAUCAAUAAUCUUUCCUUACUGAAGAAAUUCUUUGGCCAGUUUUUCAUAGAGACAAGCAAAGAGUCUGACUGGUGAUUCAGAGACUCCAAGUGUGUCAUGAAACAUGGGUGUGACAGGCACAAGAACGAGCCCCCUUGACAGCCGGCCAGCCUCGUUAGAAUUCCGGAACCGGAGAGUCUGCUUCUGUUCAUGGAACUUUUCCUAGGGUCUGACCGGAUGAAAUGGAAGGGGAAACAGAGCAUUCAGCAACAGAAGCUACUGUAACCCCUCAGCCUCAAAAACACUCAGCUCAGAAAAGAGCAGAUUCUUUUCUGAGCACUACAAGGAAGAAUUACAAGUCAAAAUACAACCAUUAACUGAGCAUUUCCAAGGUCAUAAACACAAUGGCUGGAGCUUCAACAAUCAUGUGACCACUUGAGGAUGGAAAUCAAUGUUGGGAAUGUUGGAAAAAAAAGGAGGUUUGGACAAACCAGCUCAACACUUUCUACUCCCUGAUUUACUUUAUUUGUGAAAAAAAUAAGCCUCUAUCCUGUUUAAACUGUUUUCACUUUAGGAUUCUGUUUGUAGGAGCCAGAGAUAAUUGCUAAUGAAGUGGCUUUCUGUGGGGUGAAAGGCACAGUACUCCCCACAAGGAAUAUAAUCAUUUUGUAUUGCAAACAGAUACCAAUACAAAAAUUUUAAAAG